Molecule: ribosomal RNA, 253 nt
Filed under: uncultured bacterium
Lineage: Bacteria
Description: partial 16S ribosomal RNA
Rfam family: Bacterial small subunit ribosomal RNA
Source: RNAcentral
UACGUAGGGCGCGAGCGUUGUCCGGAAUUAUUGGGCGUAAAGAGCUCGUAGGCGGCCUGUUGCGUCCGCUGUGAAAUCCCGGGGCUCAACCCUGGGCGUGCAGUGGAUACGGGCAGGCUGGAGGCAGGCAGGGGAGAACGGAAUUCCCGGUGUAGCGGUGAAAUGCGUAGAUAUCGGGAGGAACAUCAGUGGCGAAGGCGGCCCUCUGGUCCAGUACUGACACUCAAGUGCGAAAGCGUGGGGAGCAAACAGG